UACGGAGGGUGCAAACGUUGCUCGGAAUUAUUGGGCGUAAAGCGCACGUAGGCGGUCCAGCAAGUCGGGUGUGAAAGCCCUCGGCUUAACCGAGGAAGUGCAUUCGAAACUACUGGACUUGAAUACUGGAGAGGAUCGCGGAAUUCCCGGUGUAGAGGUGAAAUUCGUAGAUAUCGGGAGGAACACCAGUGGCGAAGGCGGCGAUCUGGACAGAUAUUGACGCUGAGGAGCGAAAGCCAGGGGAGCGAACGGG
Molecule: ribosomal RNA, 253 nt
Filed under: uncultured bacterium
Lineage: Bacteria
Description: partial 16S ribosomal RNA
Rfam family: Bacterial small subunit ribosomal RNA
Source: RNAcentral